CCCUUAGAUGUUCUGGGCCGCACGCGUGCUACACUGAGUGGAUCAGCGGGUCAGGUUGCGCGAAAGCGUUUCCUAAUCUUGAAAUCCGCUCGUGAUGGGGAUUGACAGUUGCAAUUUUCUGUCAUGAACGAGGAAUACCUUGUAAGCGCGAGUCAUCAUCCCGCGCUGAAUACGUCCCUGCCCUUUGUACACACCGCCCGUCGCUCCUACCGAUUGAGUGGUCCGGUGAGGCUUUGGGAUCUGAGCGGAAAGAGCGUUUCGCUCGUUCUGCCCGGAAAACUCAGUCGAACCUUAUCAUUUAGAGGAAGGAGAAGUCGUAACA
Molecule: ribosomal RNA, 322 nt
Filed under: uncultured eukaryote
Lineage: Eukaryota
Description: partial 18S ribosomal RNA
Rfam family: Eukaryotic small subunit ribosomal RNA
Source: RNAcentral